Molecule: ribosomal RNA, 497 nt
Filed under: uncultured bacterium
Lineage: Bacteria
Description: partial 16S ribosomal RNA
Rfam family: Bacterial small subunit ribosomal RNA
Source: RNAcentral
GAUGAACGCUGGCGGCGUGCCUAAUACAUGCAAGUCGAGCGAACGGACGAGAAGCUUGCUUUUCUGAUGUUAGCGGCGGACGGGUGAGUAACACGUGGAUAACCUACCUAUAAGACUGGGAUAACUUCGUGAAACCGGAGCUAAUACCGGAUAAUAUUUUGAACCGCAUGGUUCAAAAGUGAAAGACGGUCUUGCCGUCACUUAUAGAUGGAUCCGCGCUGCAUUAGCUAGUUGGUAAGGUAACGGCCUACCAAGGCAACGAUGCAUAGCCGACCUGAGAGGGUGAUCGGCCACACUGGAACUGAGACACGGUCCAGACUCCUACGGGAGGCAGCAGUAGGGAAUCUUCCGCAAUGGGCGAAAGCCUGACGGAGCAACGCCGCGUGAGUGAUGAAGGUCUUCGGAUCGUAAAACUCUGUUAUUAGGGAAGAACAUAUGUGUAAUUAACUGUGCACAUCUUGACGGUACCUAAUCAGAAAGCCACGGCUAACUACGUG